CUACGUGCCAGCAGCCGCGGUAAUACGUAGGGGGCAAGCGUUAUCCGGAUUCAUUGGGCGUAAAGCGCUCGUAGGCGGUCUGUUAGGUCGGGAGUUAAAUCCGGGGGCUCAACCCCCGCUCGCUCCCGAUACCGGCAGACUUGAGUUUGGUAGGGGAAGGUGGAAUUCCUAGUGUAGCGGUGGAAUGCGCAGAUAUUAGGAAGAACACCAGUGGCGAAGGCGGCCUUCUGGGCCAUAACUGACGCUGAGGAGCGAAAGCUAGGGGAGCAAACAGGAUUAGAUACCCUGGUAGUCCUAGCCGUAAACGAUGGACACUAGGUGUGGGGGAAUAUUUCUUCCGUGCCGCAGCUAACGCAUUAAGUGUCCCGCCUGGGGAGUACGGCCGCAAGGCUAAAACUCAAAGGAAUUGACGGGGGCCCGCACAAGCAGCGGAGCAUGUGGUUUAAUUCGAAGCAACGCGAAGAACCUUACCAGGGCU
Molecule: ribosomal RNA, 478 nt
Filed under: uncultured bacterium
Lineage: Bacteria
Description: bacterial SSU rRNA
Rfam family: Bacterial small subunit ribosomal RNA
Source: RNAcentral